RNAcentral lists this unclassified non-coding RNA (158 nucleotides) under uncultured Tubeufiaceae. RNAcentral's name for it is "sequence contains ITS2". The record is from RNAcentral. Lineage: Eukaryota; Fungi; Ascomycota; Dothideomycetes; Tubeufiales; Tubeufiaceae.
CAACCCUCAAGCUUUUGCUUGGAAUUGGGCUUUCGUCCGCCUAAGGACGUGCCUGAAACUCAUAGGCGGUUGUACUCAGCUCCCUUGCGUAGUUAUUUUAUCUCGCUCUGGAGGCUUCUGGGUAAUAACUCGCCUAAAAACCUUUUUAUUUUCUUAAG